This 490-nucleotide ribosomal RNA is filed under the name uncultured bacterium. Its description in RNAcentral is "partial 16S ribosomal RNA". It matches the Rfam family "Bacterial small subunit ribosomal RNA", at positions 30 to 507 of the family's 1533-position model. The record is from RNAcentral.
AUUGAACGCUGGCGGCAUGCUUUACACAUGCAAGUCGAACGGCAGCGGGGUAGUGCUUGCACUACUGCCGGCGAGUGGCGAACGGGUGAGUAAUAUAUCGGAACGUACCGAGUAAUGGGGGAUAACCAAUCGAAAGAUUGGCUAAUACCGCAUACGUCCUGAGGGAGAAAGCGGGGGAUCGCAAGACCUCGCGUUAUUCGAGCGGCCGAUAACUGAUUAGCUAGUUGGUGGGGUAAAGGCCUACCAAGGCGACGAUCAGUAGCGGGUCUGAGAGGACGAUCCGCCACACUGGGACUGAGACACGGCCCAGACUCCUACGGGAGGCAGCAGUGGGGAAUUUUGGACAAUGGGGGCAAACCUGAUCCAGCCAUGCCGCGUGUAUGAAGAAGGCCUUCGGGUUGUAAAGUACUUUUGUUAGGGAAGAAAAGGGAAGUGCUAAUACCACUUUUUGCUGACGGUACCUAAAGAAUAAGCACCGGCUAACUACGUG